UUUUGGARAGAAAAAAAAAAAGUAACAAGGUUUCCGUAGGUGAACCUGCGGAAGGAUCAUUACAGUAUUCUUUUGCCAGCGCUUAACUGCGCGGCGAAAAACCUUACACACAGUGUCUUUUUGAUACAGAACUCUUGCUUUGGUUUGGCCUAGAGAUAGGUUGGGCCAGAGGUUUAACAAAACACAAUUUAAUUAUUUUUACAGUUAGUCAAAUUUUGAAUUAAUCUUCAAAACUUUCAACAACGGAUCUCUUGGUUCUCGCAUCGAUGAAGAACGCAGCGAAAUGCGAUAAGUAAUAUGAAUUGCAGAUUUUCGUGAAUCAUCGAAUCUUUGAACGCACAUUGCGCCCUCUGGUAUUCCAGAGGGCAUGCCUGUUUGAGCGUCAUUUCUCUCUCAAACCCCCGGGUUUGGUAUUGAGUGAUACUCUUAGUCGGACUAGGCGUUUGCUUGAAAAGUAUUGGCAUGGGUAGUACUAGAUAGUGCUGUCGACCUCUCAAUGUAUUAGGUUUAUCCAACUCGUUGAAUGGUGUGGCGGGAUAUUUCUGGUAUUGUUGGCCCGGCCUUACAACAACCAAACAAGUUGACCUCAAAUACUAUAAAGUAACCCACGUCCC
Molecule: ribosomal RNA, 614 nt
Filed under: Meyerozyma guilliermondii
Lineage: Eukaryota; Fungi; Ascomycota; Pichiomycetes; Serinales; Debaryomycetaceae
Description: eukaryotic LSU rRNA
Rfam family: 5.8S ribosomal RNA (bases 232-385)
Source: RNAcentral